This 253-nucleotide ribosomal RNA is filed under the name uncultured bacterium. RNAcentral's name for it is "partial 16S ribosomal RNA". It matches the Rfam family "Bacterial small subunit ribosomal RNA", at positions 524 to 776 of the family's 1533-position model. The record is from RNAcentral.
GACGAACCGAGCGAACGUUGUUCGGAAUCACUGGGCUUAAAGGGCGCGUAGGCGGAUUCUCAAGUCCGGGGUGAAAUCCCACAGCUCAACUGUGGAACUGCCUCGGAUACUGGGAGUCUCGAGGGUGGCAGGGGUAUGCGGAACUAUCGGUGGAGCGGUGAAAUGCGUUGAUAUCGAUAGGAACUCCGGUGGCGAAGGCGGCAUACUGGACCCCUUCUGACGCUGAGGCGCGAAAGCCAGGGGAGCGAACGGG